RNAcentral lists this ribosomal RNA (164 nucleotides) under Exacum bulbilliferum. RNAcentral describes it as "5.8S ribosomal RNA". It matches the Rfam family "5.8S ribosomal RNA". From Rfam's summary of the family: 5.8S ribosomal RNA (5.8S rRNA) is a component of the large subunit of the eukaryotic ribosome. The record is from RNAcentral. Lineage: Eukaryota; Viridiplantae; Streptophyta; Magnoliopsida; Gentianales; Gentianaceae.
AAAACGACUCUCGGCAACGGAUAUCUCGGAUCUCGCAUCGAUGAAGAACGUAUCAAACUGCGAUACUUGGUGUGAAUUGCAGAAUCCCGUGAAUCAUCGAGUCUUUGAACGCAAGUUGCGCCCGAAGCCGUCAGGCCGAGGGCACGUCUGCCUGGGCGUCACGA